This 206-nucleotide ribosomal RNA is filed under the name uncultured Bacillus sp. RNAcentral describes it as "partial 16S ribosomal RNA". It matches the Rfam family "Bacterial small subunit ribosomal RNA", at positions 1176 to 1382 of the family's 1533-position model. The record is from RNAcentral. Lineage: Bacteria; Bacillati; Bacillota; Bacilli; Caryophanales; Bacillaceae.
GGGAUGACGUCAAAUCAUCAUGCCCCUUAUGUCUGGGCUACACACGUGCUACAAUGGCCGGUACAGACGGACGCAAAGCCGCGAGGUGGAGCAAAUCCUAAAAAGCCGGUCUCAGUUCGGAUUGCAGGCUGCAAUUCGCCUGCAUGAAGUCGGAAUUGCUAGUAAUGGCAGGUCAGCAUACUGCCGUGAAUACGUUCCCGGGCCUU